This 337-nucleotide unclassified non-coding RNA is filed under the name soil metagenome. RNAcentral describes it as "partial contains 5.8S ribosomal RNA, internal transcribed spacer 2, and large subunit ribosomal RNA". The stretch from base 1 to 120 matches the Rfam family "5.8S ribosomal RNA", at positions 35 to 154 of the family's 154-position model. The record is from RNAcentral.
GAUGAAGAACGUAGUGAAAUGCGAUAAGUAAUGUGAAUUGCAGAGUUUUGUGAAUCAUCGAAUCUUUGAACGCACAUUGCGCCCCCUGGUAUUCCGGAGGGCAUGUCUGUCCGAGCGUCAUUAGUCCAAUCUCAAGCCCGGCUUGUCGUUGGGUCGCACCGCCCGGGGCGGUGGACCCGAAAUAUAAUGACGGGGUCUAGCGGACCGUGGGCGCAGCGAGCUUUUACAGCACGCGUCCCGGCGUCAUCUAGACGCGUCUCCAACCAUACUCUCUGUAGGUUGACCUCGGAUCAGACAGGAUUACCCGCUGAACUUAAGCAUAUCAAUAAGCGGAGGA